AUGUAUUCAAGCUACCAACGUAGAUCAGGAAGCGACGAUGAGUUCAUUCAUUUUGUUCUCCCUACUUUAGGAGAUACAUCACAAUCAUCUUCUAGUAGGAGACCAAUGCACACAUCAAAGCUUAUGGGGGGUUGUCGUGUUCAUGAGAUUUUAACAGGACAUGAAAGUUUAUGCAAAAGGAAUUUCCGCAUGGAGGUUCCUGUUUUUCAGGCACUAGUCAAUAAACUGCGUGAGAAAAGCUAUCUAGCUAAUACAACAUAUCUUUCAGUAGAAGAGCAAGUUGCUAUAUUUUUGUAUGGAGUGGCAAAAAAUGCGACUAAUGAAACACUUCAAGAUUGGUUUCAGCAUAGCCCAGAUACAAUACAUCGACAUUUUAAAAGAGUGCUUGAAGCAAUCACCAAUCUCACAACUAUCUACAUACGUCCACCUUCUCUACACCCACAUCCAGUAUUGAGCAAACCAAAGUUCUACCCCUUUUUUAAGAACUGUAUUGGUGCUAUAGACGGUACUCACAUCCCUAUGAAGCUUCCAUUGGAUGAGCAAGAACCAUACAGAAAUAGGAAGCAAACAAUCUCGCAAAAUGUUAUGGUUACCUGCAUUUUGACUUGA
Molecule: ribosomal RNA, 609 nt
Filed under: Triticum aestivum (bread wheat)
Lineage: Eukaryota; Viridiplantae; Streptophyta; Magnoliopsida; Poales; Poaceae
Description: partial small subunit ribosomal RNA
Source: RNAcentral